This 69-nucleotide transfer RNA is filed under the name Bos taurus (domestic cattle). It matches the Rfam family "tRNA". Rfam says of the family: Transfer RNA (tRNA) molecules are approximately 80 nucleotides in length. Their secondary structure includes four short double-helical elements and three loops (D, anti-codon, and T loops). RNAcentral also lists the same sequence under 4 other names. Lineage: Eukaryota; Metazoa; Chordata; Mammalia; Artiodactyla; Bovidae. The record is from Rfam by way of RNAcentral.
CCUGGUGGCUUAGAUGGCAAAGAAUCUGCCUGCAGUGCAGAAGACCCAGGUUCGAUCCCUGGGUCAGGA